GAGCAACACUCUGUGGCAGAGGAUGGACACAGUCUGACACAAUCUGAGCUUCCUAUAGCCAUAAAGUUUAACCUAUUCCGGUGCUCUCCUCUAUGAGACAAGCCGUUAUAUAGACUUAGUGUUA
This is a small nucleolar RNA of Myotis lucifugus (little brown bat), 124 nucleotides long. Ensembl annotates it as small nucleolar RNA SNORA28. Lineage: Eukaryota; Metazoa; Chordata; Mammalia; Chiroptera; Vespertilionidae. The record is from Ensembl.